UCAAGGUACUCAGGCAAAGCUGCAACAUAUGUAAAUACAUACAUAUAUAUUCAUAAAUGUUAAGAGGUACAAACUUUCUUGUUAUAAGUUUAGCCCUGUUAUAAACAGAAGUAUAAAGCAGGAAGAAACUGCUCUACUUGGCACAUUGAUUUCGGCAUGGAAAAGACAAACAAGAAGUGCAUUCAUAAUCACAACCACAUUCACCUCUGCGACGCACUGGCCACAGCUAAUUUCAGGUACCUGUGAGGGGCCUGAGGCUGUGUGGAUGGGAAUGGGGUCCCUAUGUCUGCUGCAGCUGUCACUCUGCUGGCCUGAUGAGAG
This is a long non-coding RNA of Vidua chalybeata, 321 nucleotides long. RefSeq lists it as uncharacterized. The record is from RefSeq and is a predicted model, not a curated record. NCBI's taxonomy places the organism in Eukaryota, Metazoa, Chordata, Aves, Passeriformes, Viduidae. The transcript is spliced from 3 exons.